UGGGGAAUCUUGCACAAUGGGCGAAAGCCUGAUGCAGCAACGCCGCGUGCGGGAAGAAGGCCCUAGGGUUGUAAACCGCUUUCAGCAGGGAAGAAACUGACGGUACCUGCAGAAGAAGGUGCGGCCAACUACGUGCCAGCAGCCGCGGUGACACGUAGGCACCAAGCGUUGUCCGGAUUUAUUGGGCGUAAAGAGCUCGUAGGCGGUUCGGUAAGUCGGGUGUGAAAACUCUGGGCUCAACCCAGAGCCGCCACCCGAUACUGCUGUGACUCGAGUGCGGUAGGGGAGCGGGGAAUUCCUGGUGUAGCGGUGAAAUGCGCAGAUAUCAGGAGGAACACCAGUGGCGAAGGCGCCGCUCUGGGCCGUGACUGACGCUGAGGAGCGAAAGCGUGGGUAGCAAACAGG
This 405-nucleotide ribosomal RNA is filed under the name bacterium. RNAcentral describes it as "partial 16S ribosomal RNA". It matches the Rfam family "Bacterial small subunit ribosomal RNA", at positions 355 to 776 of the family's 1533-position model. The record is from RNAcentral.